AGCGAACGCUGGCGGCAGGCCUAACACAUGCAAGUCGAACGAACCUUUCGGGGUUAGUGGCGGACGGGUGAGUAACACGUGGGAACGUGCCUUUAGGUUCGGAAUAACUCAGGGAAACUUGUGCUAAUACCGAAUGUGCCCUUCGGGGGAAAGAUUAAUCGCCUUUAGAGCGGCCCGCGUCUGAUUCGCUAGUUGGUUGAGGUAAUGGCUCACCAAGGCGACGAUCAGGAGCUGGUCUGAGAGGAUGAUCAGCCACAUUGGGACUGAGACACGGCCCAAACUCCUACGGGAGGCAGCAGUGGGGAAUCUUGCGCAAUGGGCGAAAGCCUGACGCAGCCAUGCCGCGUGAAUGAUGAAGGUCUUAGGAUUGUAAAAUUCUUUCACCGGGGACGAUAAUGACGGUACCCGGAGAAGAAGCCCCGGCUAACUUCGUG
RNAcentral lists this ribosomal RNA (434 nucleotides) under uncultured bacterium. RNAcentral's name for it is "partial 16S ribosomal RNA". It matches the Rfam family "Bacterial small subunit ribosomal RNA", at positions 29 to 507 of the family's 1533-position model. The record is from RNAcentral.